UCCUAGUUUUUUUUUUUUUUUGCCUACACAAAUUUGGAUGUGUGUCUGUGGUUUCAUGGGAGAUGUACCUCUAUAAAAUUGAGCAAGCUCUGGCGGUGAGAAGUUAUGUGAGGACACAAACAUGAAAAUAUGUGUUGUUUUUUUUCUUUUCAACCAUGAAGCAAACUUUUUUGAAUGAUGCAAUCUAUGAGGAAAUGGACUGUCCUUUCAACAAAAACAAGGCCUUUCUGGAAAACAACUAAAAGAAGCUGUCUCGUCAUUGUUCUGCGGAAUGUGUGCCAUCAUGAUGACUCAUUGCUGGGACAAAGCAGCACGGGGGCUUUUCUUGCAACACUCCAUGGGAGCAGGUAAGACGAGGAGCUUUUUAUUGAACCCCCCCCAGUAGGAUUUUGGUUAUUCUUCUAAUGCAGAAAAGUUGAUGAAAAGAGCUUUUUUUUUCUUCUCUUAAACAACUUACCAUUAUUUCUGGCCGGCAGCCAAGUGGGUGACUGUGAUAUAUUUCCCUGCUGUGUCUGCUGUAUCCACGGUAGCUGCAGCACACAGGAACAGCAUGCUGCAGCCCCAGAGCUGUGAGGAGAAAGUUGAAGGCUUUAUCCAUUCCUUUAUUCGUUCAAGCGACCAUUUCCAAUGACACGACUAUGUAAAUGCAAGUAAAUGUAAGUUUUGGGCUUCCGUGUUCAAAACUCAUGUUUCUAUGACCAUUUAAUGGCUCUACAUCUUGAACGAACGUUAAAAGUUAAACCAAGUUGAACUUUGACCAAUCUGGGACUCGUAUUUGCUAGUGAUGCAUGGAUGGCGGCUCUUCUAAUAAGUGGAUGUGCCAACCGUUGGAAAAUUUAUUAUGGAGGAGAAAUUAAUGUUUGCGGUUUGUGCCCAGCCAGACAUAUAUGACACCAAGUCCCUCAUAUAUUAGAAUAGAACUGUGAAAGCUCGGCGCAAGAUUCACAAAAGUUGCACUGCUUCAACAUGUCAAAUCAAUCAUCCUCCAAUUGAUGGUGGUGGCCAUGCGCUAGUAAACAGUAGAAAACGAAAAAGAAGAAGCCCCUCCCUGCUUGUCCAGUGUGAACACCAUGGGCUAAAGGUUGUGUUCAAGAAUGUGCGUGCAUUCUGUGUCUCCGUUGCCCCAGAGCUAUCCUCAUCUACCGUCGUCUUAUUUCAAGGUAUUAGAUGUCAGGAGAGGCUGUUUCUCUAAGCUAAGUGUUCCAGUUUUAUCUAGUUACCUGUUUGCAGUUGUUAGUUAAUAAUUCUUUAGAGGUCGUUAACUGAAGAGAGAAGGUUAACAUACAUUGACCAGAGAGGAUUGUGGAUGAACCCCUGGAGGCAAAACACAGAGAUUUCUGUGAGACAGCAGAGCUCUAAUUGGCCUCGAGAGCUUUGCAAGUAAACAGGAAAACCAUUUUAAA
RNAcentral lists this long non-coding RNA (1403 nucleotides) under Oryzias sinensis (Chinese medaka). RNAcentral's name for it is "lncRNA (ENSOSIG00000021005.1)". The record is from RNAcentral. Lineage: Eukaryota; Metazoa; Chordata; Actinopteri; Beloniformes; Adrianichthyidae.